This 640-nucleotide ribosomal RNA is filed under the name Edwardsiella ictaluri. RNAcentral describes it as "bacterial SSU rRNA". It matches the Rfam family "Bacterial small subunit ribosomal RNA", at positions 799 to 1439 of the family's 1533-position model. The record is from RNAcentral. Lineage: Bacteria; Pseudomonadati; Pseudomonadota; Gammaproteobacteria; Enterobacterales; Hafniaceae.
CCCAGUUACGAUGUCGAUUUGGAGGUUGUGCCCUUGAGGCGUGGCUUCCGAAGCUAACGCGUUAAAUCGACCGCCUGGGGAGUACGGCCGCAAGGUUAAAACUCAAAUGAAUUGACGGGGGCCCGCACAAGCGGUGGAGCAUGUGGUUUAAUUCGAUGCAACGCGAAGAACCUUACCUACUCUUGACAUCCAGCGAAUCCUGUAGAGAUACGGGAGUGCCUUCGGGAACGCUGAGACAGGUGCUGCAUGGCUGUCGUCAGCUCGUGUUGUGAAAUGUUGGGUUAAGUCCCGCAACGAGCGCAACCCUUAUCCUUUGUUGCCAGCGGUUCGGCCGGGAACUCAAAGGAGACUGCCAGUGAUAAACUGGAGGAAGGUGGGGAUGACGUCAAGUCAUCAUGGCCCUUACGAGUAGGGCUACACACGUGCUACAAUGGCGUAUACAAAGAGAAGCGAACUCGCGAGAGCAAGCGGACCUCAUAAAGUACGUCGUAGUCCGGAUUGGAGUCUGCAACUCGACUCCAUGAAGUCGGAAUCGCUAGUAAUCGUGGAUCAGAAUGCCACGGUGAAUACGUUCCCGGGCCUUGUACACACCGCCCGUCACACCAUGGGAGUGGGUUGCAAAAGAAGUAGGUAGCUUAAC